Molecule: ribosomal RNA, 492 nt
Filed under: uncultured bacterium
Lineage: Bacteria
Description: partial 16S ribosomal RNA
Rfam family: Bacterial small subunit ribosomal RNA
Source: RNAcentral
AGUGAACGCUGGCGGUAGGCCUAACACAUGCAAGUCGAACGGCAGCACAGUAAGAGCUUGCUCUUACGGGUGGCGAGUGGCGGACGGGUGAGGAAUACAUCGGAAUCUACUUUUUCGUGGGGGAUAACGUAGGGAAACUUACGCUAAUACCGCAUACGACCUACGGGUGAAAGCAGGGGAUCUUCGGACCUUGCGCGAUUGAAUGAGCCGAUGUCGGAUUAGAUAGUUGGCGGGGUAAAGGCCCACCAAGGCGACGAUCCGUAGCUGGUCUGAGAGGAUGAUAAGACAAACUGGAAAUGAGAAACGGACCAGACUCCGACGGGAGGCAGCAGUGGGGAAUAUUGGACAAUGGGCGCAAGCAUGAUACAGCAAUACCGCGUGGGUGAAGAAGGACUUCGGGUUGUAAAGCCCUUUUGUUGGGAAAGAAAAGCAGCAGGUUAAUACCCCGCUGUUCUGACGGUAACCAAAGAAUAAGCACCGGCUAACUUCGUG